This 459-nucleotide ribosomal RNA is filed under the name uncultured bacterium. RNAcentral describes it as "partial 16S ribosomal RNA". It matches the Rfam family "Bacterial small subunit ribosomal RNA", at positions 338 to 795 of the family's 1533-position model. The record is from RNAcentral.
CCUACGGGGGGCAGCAGUGAGGAAUAUUGGUCAAUGGGCGCGAGCCUGAACCAGCCAAGUCGCGUGAGGGAAGACGGUCCUAUGGAUUGUAAACCUCUUUUGUCGGGGAGCAAAAGACGCCACGCGUGGCGUUCCGAGAGUACCCGAAGAAAAAGCAUCGGCUAACUCCGUGCCAGCAGCCGCGGUAAUACGGAGGAUGCGAGCGUUAUCCGGAUUUAUUGGGUUUAAAGGGUGCGCAGGCGGAAGAUCAAGUCAGCGGUAAAAUUGAGAGGCUCAACCUCUUCGAGCCGUUGAAACUGGUAUUCUUGAGUGAGCGAGAGGUAUGCGGAAUGCGUGGUGUAGCGGUGAAAUGCAUAGACAUCACGCAGAACUCCGAUUGCGAAGGCAGCAUACCGGCGCUCAACUGACGCUCAUGCACGAAAGUGUGGGUAUCGAACAGGAUUAGAUACCCCUGUAGUC